Molecule: ribosomal RNA, 498 nt
Filed under: uncultured bacterium
Lineage: Bacteria
Description: bacterial SSU rRNA
Rfam family: Bacterial small subunit ribosomal RNA
Source: RNAcentral
ACUCAAAGGAAUUGACGGGGGCCCGCACAAGCGGAGGAACAUGUGGUUUAAUUCGAUGAUACGCGAGGAACCUUACCCGGGCUCGAACGGUGCAUGAAUGUUCAAGAGAUUGGAUAGUCCUUCGGGACAUGUAUCGAGGUGCUGCAUGGUUGUCGUCAGCUCGUGCCGUGAGGUGUCGGCUUAAGUGCCAUAACGAGCGCAACCCUUGUCAUUAGUUACCAUCAGGCAAAGCUGGGGACUCUAAUGAGACUGCCACCGUAAGGUGUGAGGAAGGGGGGGAUGACGUCAAAUCAGCACGGCCCUUAUGUCCGGGGCGACACACGUGUUACAAUGGGGGGUACAGAGGGCAGCCAUCCGGUGACGGAGCGCUAAUCUCCAAAACCCUUCUCAGUUCGGAUUGGAGUCUGCAACCCGACUCCAUGAAGUUGGAUUCGCUAGUAAUCGCGCAUCAGCCAUGGCGCGGUGAAUACGUUCCCGGGCCUUGUACACACCGCCCGU